UGGGGAAUAUUGCACAAUGGGCGCAAGCCUGAUGCAGCCAUGCCGCGUGUAUGAAGAAGGCCUUCGGGUUGUAAAGUACUUUCAGCGGGGAGGAAGGGAGUAAAGUUAAUACCUUUGCUCAUUGACGUUACCCGCAGAAGAAGCACCGGCUAACUCCGUGCCAGCAGCCGCGGUAAUACGGAGGGUGCAAGCGUUAAUCGGAAUUACUGGGCGUAAAGCGCACGCAGGCGGUUUGUUAAGUCAGAUGUGAAAUCCCCGGGCUCAACCUGGGAACUGCAUCUGAUACUGGCAAGCUUGAGUCUCGUAGAGGGGGGUAGAAUUCCAGGUGUAGCGGUGAAAUGCGUAGAGAUCUGGAGGAACACCAGUGGCGAAGGCGGCUCUCUGGUCUGUAACUGACGCUGAGGCUCGAAAGCGUGGGGAGCAAACAGG
RNAcentral lists this ribosomal RNA (429 nucleotides) under Chloroflexota bacterium. RNAcentral's name for it is "Chloroflexi bacterium partial 16S ribosomal RNA". It matches the Rfam family "Bacterial small subunit ribosomal RNA", at positions 355 to 776 of the family's 1533-position model. The record is from RNAcentral. Lineage: Bacteria; Bacillati; Chloroflexota.